This 328-nucleotide long non-coding RNA is filed under the name Elaeis guineensis (African oil palm). RNAcentral describes it as "long non-coding RNA (EGUI_LNC075599)". Lineage: Eukaryota; Viridiplantae; Streptophyta; Magnoliopsida; Arecales; Arecaceae. The record is from RNAcentral.
AGGUGUAAGGAACACUUAUAUCCCAUCAGAGACAUUCUCGACAGCAGAAUGCUCUAGAGUUGGUCACAUUCAAUGAUGAUGGACCCUUAUAUCUCACCUAUAUGCCAUACCAGUGUCUCCACACUCCUUGGUUAAAAGGACAACCAACCCAUAUGGCCUACAGCGACCUAUGCUCGAUAGAAGCUGUCAUCCUUAUUAACAAUUUAUCAUUUGAUCGUGAAUAGUUUUAAGGACUAAUCGAUAAAUUCUCUCUUUAUCGAACCUAAAUAGUCCUAAGGACUUCAUCACAACAACGGAGUUCAUUAGAAGAUGAAAACUUAUGAUGAAC